This 231-nucleotide ribosomal RNA is filed under the name uncultured bacterium. Its description in RNAcentral is "partial 16S ribosomal RNA". It matches the Rfam family "Bacterial small subunit ribosomal RNA", at positions 103 to 334 of the family's 1533-position model. The record is from RNAcentral.
CGGGUGAGUAACGCGUGGGUAACCUGCCUUGUACAGGGGGAUAACAGUUGGAAACGGCUGCUAAUACCGCAUAAGCGCACAGCAUCACAUGAUGCAGUGUGAAAAACUCCGGUGGUAUAAGAUGGACCCGCGUUGGAUUAGCUAGUUGGUGAGGUAACGGCCCACCAAGGCGACGAUCCAUAGCCGACCUGAGAGGGUGACCGGCCACAUUGGGACUGAGACACGGCCCAA